This 457-nucleotide ribosomal RNA is filed under the name uncultured bacterium. RNAcentral's name for it is "bacterial SSU rRNA". It matches the Rfam family "Bacterial small subunit ribosomal RNA", at positions 340 to 786 of the family's 1533-position model. The record is from RNAcentral.
UACGGAAGGCAGCAGUGGGGAAUAUUGCACAAUGGGCGCAAGCCUGAUGCAGCCAUGCCGCGUGUAUGAAAAAGGCCUUCGGGUUGUAAAGUACUUUCAGUCGUGAGGAAGGUGUUAAGGUUAAUAACCUUAGCAAUUGACGUUAGCGACAGAAGAAGCACCGGCUAACUCCGUGCCAGCAGCCGCGGUAAUACGGAGGGUGCGAGCGUUAAUCGGAAUUACUGGGCGUAAAGGGCACGCAGGCGGUUAAUUAAGUUGGAUGUGAAAUCCCCGGGCUUAACCUGGGAAUGGCAUUCAAGACUGGUUAGCUAGAGUCUUGUAGAGGGGGUAGAAUUCCAUGUGUAGCGGUGAAAUGCGUAGAGAUGUGGAGGAAUACCGGUGGGCGAAGGCGGGCCCCUGGGACAAAGGACUGACGCUCAUGUGCGAAAGCGUGGGGAGCAAACAGGGAUUAGAUACC